ACCCAGCAUCUGGAAGGAAUUUAUUUCCUGCCAACCGAUCAACUCACGACACGGUGGCUUAGUAUGCGGAACAGUCGUUCAAAUGUGUUGAGAAAU
This 96-nucleotide non-coding RNA is filed under the name Flavobacteria bacterium BAL38. RNAcentral describes it as "SAM-I/IV (S-adenosyl methionine) riboswitch aptamer". It matches the Rfam family "SAM-I/IV (S-adenosyl methionine) riboswitch aptamer". From Rfam's summary of the family: It is found upstream of a number of genes which code for proteins involved in methionine or cysteine biosynthesis. It has been found mostly in the order Actinomycetales. Lineage: Bacteria; Pseudomonadati; Bacteroidota; Flavobacteriia; Flavobacteriales. RNAcentral also lists the same sequence under 1 other name. The record is from Rfam by way of RNAcentral.